This 578-nucleotide ribosomal RNA is filed under the name uncultured bacterium. Its description in RNAcentral is "bacterial SSU rRNA". It matches the Rfam family "Bacterial small subunit ribosomal RNA", at positions 338 to 916 of the family's 1533-position model. The record is from RNAcentral.
CCUACGGGAGGCAGCAGUAAGGAAUAUUGGACAAUGCUCGCAAGAGUGAUCCAGCCAUGCCGCGUGCAGGAAGACGGCCCUAUGGGUUGUAAACUGCUUUUGAACUAGAGAAAACCCUCCUACGUGUAGGAGGCUGAUAGUAUAGUUAGAAUAAGCAUCGGCUAACUUCGUGCCAGCAGCCGCGGUAAGACGAAGGAUGCAAGCGUUAUCCGGAUUCAUUGGGUUUAAAGGGAGCGUAGGUGGACUGAUAAGUCAGUGGUGAAAUCUCUCGGCUUAACCGAGAAAUUGCCAUUGAUACUGUUGGUCUUGAGUACAGUUGCUGUGGGCGGAAUAUGACAUGUAGUGGUGAAAUACAUAGAGAUGUCAUAGAACACCGAUUGCGAAGGCAGCUCACAAAGCUGUAACUGACACUGAGGCUCGAAAGUGCGGGGAUCAAACAGGAUUAGAUACCCUGGUAGUCCGCACCGUAAACGAUGAUUACUCGCUGCUGGGAGGUAACUUUCAGUGGCUUAGCGAAAGCGAUAAGUAAUCCACCUGGGGAGUACGCCGGCAACGGUGAAACUCAAAGGAAUUGACGG